ACUUCGGUACAUCGGUGACAGGUGGUGCAUGGUUGUCGUCAGCUCGUGUCGUGAGAUGUUGGGUUAAGUCCCGCAACGAGCCGCAACCCCUAUUGUUAGUUGCCAUCAUUCAGUUGGGCACUCUAGCGAGACUGCCGGUAAUAAACCGGGAGGAAGUGGGGAUGACGUCAAAUCAUCAUGCCCCUUAUGACCUGGGCUACACACGUGCUACAAUGGUUGGUACAACGAGUUGCGAGUCGGUGACGGCGAGCUAAUCUCUUAAAGCCAAUCUCAGUUCGGAUUGUAGGCUGCAACUCGCCUACAUGAAGCCGGAAUCGCUAGUAAUCGCGGAUCAGCAUGCCGCGGUGAAUACGUUCCCGGGCCUU
This 365-nucleotide ribosomal RNA is filed under the name uncultured Streptococcus sp. RNAcentral's name for it is "bacterial SSU rRNA". It matches the Rfam family "Bacterial small subunit ribosomal RNA", at positions 1017 to 1382 of the family's 1533-position model. Lineage: Bacteria; Bacillati; Bacillota; Bacilli; Lactobacillales; Streptococcaceae. The record is from RNAcentral.